RNAcentral lists this long non-coding RNA (3101 nucleotides) under Macaca mulatta (Rhesus monkey). RNAcentral's name for it is "lncRNA (ENSMMUG00000059385.1)". Lineage: Eukaryota; Metazoa; Chordata; Mammalia; Primates; Cercopithecidae. The record is from RNAcentral.
AUGGAUGGAUUGAGGGAAAGAUCAUGGUACCAGAUCUGCAGGCAGCUGGAGACAGAAGUCUUCACUUGCAUGGUGAGCUGUAAACUCAGCCUUGAACAAAAGAGAACGAAAAGGAAGGUCUUAGGAAGGAGGCCUUGGUCAGAACGCCAAGUUUCCAGGGAGAAGACUGUCCCACAGCCAGUCACCUGGGGCCUUGUUUCCAGAAGUGGAGUCCUGGAGUCAGCGCAUCUGCGAGCAGUGGGCGUCACAUCGUAUAACGUUAUGGUCAGUGUGGCCUAGAAGUGAGCUCCAGCACCCUGCCACCCUCCCAACACAGGACACUACACAUGUAACCAGAAAAUAAAAACAAGAAUGGCUCCUGUUUCUAGAUUAUCUAAAAGGAGGGAAUCUCUUAUUUCUAGAUUUAAAUUUAAACUUUUUUUUUUUUUUUUAGAGACAGGGUCUCGUUUUGUUACCCAAGCUGGAGUACAGUGACACCAUCAUAACUCACUGCAACCUUGAACUCCUGGGCUCAGGUGAUUCUCUCACCUCAGCCUCCCUAAUAGGACUGCAAGCACACGCCACCACACCUGGCUCAUUUUUAAACUUUUUUAUGGAGACAGGUUCUCCCUAUGUUGCCCAGGCUGGUCUUGAACUCCUGAACUCAAGUGAUCCUCCCACCUUGGCCUCCCAAAGCACUGGGAUUAUAGGCAUGAGCCACUGUCUAAAGGAGAGAAACCUUUGCAAUGUGAAUAGACUUCUCUAAAAGCACACUUGGCUUCCUCCCUCAAACUUACUUGAUUCUGAUGCUUUUUCCCACUCCAUAAACUCUUUUACAAAGUUGAAUUUACAUGUAUCAUUAAGAUACAUAAUUUCCACUGUUACAUCCUUCUUAGAGGUCACUUCCCCUUACCUACUGCUUGAUAUGACUUUUUUUGAGGGAGUGUGAUUAAGGACAUCACGGGACUAGACUGAGCUUUUUGAAAGCAGGGGCCGUUUCUCAGUCAUCUUGGGUAUCUACAGCACUUGUUGUGAGUGAAUGAAUGAAUGAGGAUGGAAUGAGUGAUGCCUGCUCUGCUUUCACAUGGCCAUAAAGCAGGCAUCCAGGUACCCAUUCCCAGGAGGAGGUGAGGUCCACAGUCUCCACCCCCCAAGCCCCCAUCCCUUCCUGGACCCUGGUGGGAGCCCAAGUGUAAAGCAGCCCAGACCAGAGAAGGGGUUACAGCUGGACAGCCCCCAAAACACAGGAGGGCAGAUUGCUCGAGCAUCCCAGUCUGAGAACAGUGGGGGCAACAUGCCAGAAUGGAGGUGAAGGGAACGGAGGGGCAGGGGCGUGAGCUCACCUCCACCCUGUGGCCAAGGAACGGGCACAGGUAAGAAGGGAAGGAAAUGUCCUGGACUCGGCAGGAGAUCGCAGACCUGUGAGGGAAAGUGAGGAAGAGCUUGCAAUGUUGGGAGGAGAGGCAGGAAAAAAGUUUCCUUUCCUCAGAGGAAAAGGAAGGAGAGCCCAGUUUUAAAAACAAAACCCUCACCUGCACCCUCCAUAACCAAAGAUCCCGACACUGAUUCUCGACAGCUGAGAGUGAGCUGGGCCACAGAGGGGUUCAUCCACCCCCCAACUGCAGACAGCAAGCUGUGGGAGGAGCAGGUUUAUGGGCCUUGAAACCCUCUGAGAUGGGAGAGAUAAUAUCCAUAAAAUCCAGGAUUGCUAGAGAGCCACAGACUUGCUCUCCAAAAGGCUGAAAAUAGAAAGGAGGAAGUGAAAUUAAUAGAGCUGGGAAUGAGAAAGAAACAAGGCCAUGUGUGCGUAUCUUUAAAGCUAGAAAAUAACAACCACAUCUUCUGAACACAUUACAUUCCCGGUGCCGAACUAAGCAAUUUGCACUUAUUUAAUCCUCAUAUAACAAUCUAAGGAGACGGAUAUUACAAUCUUGUUUUAUUGGUGAGGAAAUUCUCUCAGAGAAGUUGUUACCACACCUGUAAUCCCAGCACUUUGGGAGGCCGAGGCGGGCGGAUUACCUGAGGUCGGCAGUUUGAGACCAGCCUGACCAACAUGGAGAAACCCCGUCUCUACUAAAAAUACAAAAAUUAGCCAUACGUGGUGGCGCAUGCCUGUAAUCCCAGCUACUCAGGAGGCUGAGGCAGGAGAAUCACUUGAACCCGGGAGGCGGAGGUUGUGGUGAGCCGAGGUCACGCGCCCUUGCACUCCAGCCUGGGCAACAAGAGCGAAACUCUGUCUCAAAAAAAAAAAAAAAAAGAAGUUAAGUUACUUGCCUGAAGCCACAUAACUGAGCCCAGUUCCAGCUGACUCAAAAGGGUACAAAUUUAGUCACUAUGUCAGUUAUUUUCAAACUUUGUUUCUUUGUUUGUUUGUUUUUGAGACAAAUUUUGCUCCUGUUGCCCAGGCUGGAGUGCAAUGGUGCAAUCUCGGCUCACUGCAACCUCCACCUCCGGGGUUCAGGUGAUUCUCCUGCUUAGACCUCCUAAGUAGCUGGGAUUACAGGCAUGUGCCACCACACCUGGCUAAUUUUUUGUACUUAGUAGAGACGGGGUUUCACCAUGUUGGUCAGGCUGGUCUUGAACUCCUGACCUCAGGUAAUCCACCUGCCUUGGGCCUCCCAAAGUGCUGGGAUUACAGGCGUGAGCCACCGUGCCUGGCCUGCUUUCAAACUUUUUUGACUAGGACCCACAGUAAGAAAUAUAUUUUAGACCGGGCCCAGUGAGCCAAGAUUGUGCCACUGCACUCCAGCCAUGGUGACAGAGUGAGACUCUGUCUCAAAAAAAAAAAAAAAAAUAGAAGAAAAAGAAAGAUAUUUUAGAUUCUAAGCCAGCACACAUACAUAUAAUUGAAACCAAAAUGAAAAUUUUAUAAAAUGCAUGUACCCUUACUACUUAUUAAAAGAAGAACUUUAGUCAAUAAAAUUUAGCAGAGUUUAUUUGAGCAAAUAAUGAUUCAUGUUAGGUAUGGUAAGUAAUGCCUGCAAUCCAGCACUUUGGGAGGCUGAGGUGGGAGGAUCACCUGAACCCAGGAGUUUGAGACCAGUCUGGGCAAUAUAGUAAAACCCUGUUUCUAAAAGAAAAAAAAAAAAAAAAGAGAGAGAGAGAUAAUCCAUGAAAGAGUG